Molecule: non-coding RNA, 2041 nt
Organism: Cucurbita pepo subsp. pepo (vegetable marrow)
Lineage: Eukaryota; Viridiplantae; Streptophyta; Magnoliopsida; Cucurbitales; Cucurbitaceae
Source: RefSeq, a predicted model, not a curated record
UGAAAUGAAGUUUCUUCUAUUGUUUUUGUUAUAUUUUUCUUGGUUUUGAUGAUUUUGUUUAUGUAAUUUCACUGUAUGGAAUCGGCUGCUGUACAUUGUUAAUUGUAAUGGACUCUCCAAUAAUGCUUCAAUUUCCAGAUAGGAAUUGCUCACGUCGUAGCGAUCCGAACAAUUCAUUAAACUAUUCAAUCAAGCGACAAAUGAUGUGUACAAAGGGCAAGUCGAACCUCCUCCUCCUCCUCACAUCGCGGUGAUCCGAACAAUUCAUUGAACUAUUCAAUCAAUAGGAGCGGCAAGCGGUGUGUACAAAGGGCAGGUCGAACCUCCUCCUCCUCCUCCUUACCCUUUUUGAGGAUUUUUGAAACAAGGAAACUGGUAAUCUUUUUACUGUUUUUUACUUAAUUUUGUUUUGAAGAUCUUAUCCUACAUUUGAAGAUAGUCGAACGUGAAAUUGCAGUGACAAGAAGUAAUCGGAACUUUUUUGUAUUAACUUAAUUUUGGAAUUCAAUUAUUACAUCAUUGACUACUUUUACAUCUUUUUGUUUUGGUGCUAAUAUUUUAACUCAUUAUAUAUUGGCUAAAGGACCAAUAUAAGUUAUUAGAUCUUGCCUUCUUGAUGUAUGCCCAUCUUUUCUUUGUUCAAACUGUUUGUACUUGUUGAUUCGAUUUGAUUUUGAUCUAAUUUUAUGGUGUAUAGUUGGCAUUAAAAUUAGAACAAUCACUCGAAAAUGUAGCUAAGAGAAAUUGUCGUUUGUGGUACAAACCCCACUUUAGUUAGUGUUACGAGCUUAGGCAACUGAGGUAAUAGGUCUUUUCCAUUGAUGAACAUGGUUUUUUUUUAGUUCAACAAAUGUAGGAUGAGAGAUCAAACUUUGAACUUACGAAGAGCGUAACAGGUCUUUUGAUCCUAAGUUAGGUGAUUUUUCAUCAUAAAAGUGUUAAGUUUAAAACGCAUCUGUUGCAACUUUUACAUUAAUUUAUGUGUUUGUUUCGAUAUUUGGUCAGCGAUAUCACUUGCAAGAUCUUUUUUUGUUUGUUUGUUUCGAUUACUCUUCUAGUACUUUUUGAUGGUCCUAUAUGGUUAAAAUGAUUCUCACAGUUUCUCUGUUAGAUUUCGUGAGCAGGUAAUGCUUUUGAAUGGAUCAAUUCCUUGGAUGAAUUUGGUAUGCUCUACAUUCUAUAGAUAUACUUCUUCAAAGCUUUAAUCGCUUUCUUGGGCUAUUGAAAUAUAACAAUGCUUAUUUCAUAAUCUUCCUUCACAAGGAAGUUAAAGUGGGUUCAUUGGUAGAUGAUUUUGUAAGUAUGUUCAUUUCAAGAUAUUAACUUUCCAAUACAUUUUUCUAUGAACCAUUUGAUACUAAUUGCUUGUUGAGCUUUUAUUCAGUUGGUUUGAGGGUUUGAAGUUUUAUAUAUAUAUAUAUAUUGGCAUUCAAAGGAAGUAAAUGAAGAGAUAGAAGUUCCUUGUGAAGAUCUUCAUGUACUCAUAUGAUAUGAAAUUAUACCCCAAUAACACAUGGUAAUGAAUCAUAAAAUCUAGUGAAUUACUUCAAUUGUUUGACUCCUUGUAGCAAGGUCGAGUUGCUUACUGCAACAAAGUUGACUGUAUAUAUGCUAGAUAAAUGAGAACAAUAAAGUUACCAUUGCCGAUUCUUGGAUGGAGCUUGACUCGAAGCCGUCCCCAUGUCAUCGAGGUCAAAAGAAUCAUACGACGACACAUUCUGCAAAUAAAAACUCCGAAAGGGUUAGACAUGAAACAAAAUCUAGACUUCUGAUUCAGGAUGUUUUGUUGGGCAUUCAUUUAUAAAGCUUGGUUUCAAGUAGGAAAUGAUUGUUUGGCUGAUGCUGCCAAUGAGUUUAGAUUGAACAUAUACUCUAAAGUUCAAUCGUAUUGGUUUUUGGACUUCCGCGCCCAGAUGGAUAGUAGUUAGUAGGUUUGGUAAUACAUUUUGAAUAUGCAUUGCUGUAUAAGUUCUCUUAUUUUGAGAUGUAGGGAGCAGAAAAUAGACCAUAUAUAGAAAGCAAGUACACAAAUUUAAAUUUC